RNAcentral lists this long non-coding RNA (391 nucleotides) under Bos indicus x Bos taurus (hybrid cattle). RNAcentral's name for it is "lncRNA (ENSBIXG00005017855.1)". The record is from RNAcentral. Lineage: Eukaryota; Metazoa; Chordata; Mammalia; Artiodactyla; Bovidae.
UUUUUCCUACAUUUUGGUUUAGAUAUAAUUAUUUUGACUGAAGGAAACAAAAUCUAUAACUGAUAUGGCCUACAUAAUAAUAUUUCAUCAUCACAGGUGUCUGGAGAUCUGUGAUUCAAGUGGUUGGUUCAGCAGCUCAAUCAUAUUUGUCUCCAGAAUAGACUCACGCCAUCACAUCUGCUUCAAAAUCUUUUCAAUUUGUCCUCUGUGUUUAUUCAUGUUUACUAUGAAUUUGACUUCCAGUUGUCUGCUACUCAUAAAAAUCAAGGAAAUGCUAGCACUUGAUGUUGACCGAAUUCCUACUAUCAAGAAGAUCUGCAUAGAUAUACUCUGUCUCAAAAUGUAUCUAUAAAGAAAUAAAAUAGCUUAAAUCCUGUGCUUGUGUAUUUAU